Molecule: long non-coding RNA, 796 nt
Organism: Pipra filicauda (Wire-tailed manakin)
Lineage: Eukaryota; Metazoa; Chordata; Aves; Passeriformes; Pipridae
Exons: 3
Source: RefSeq, a predicted model, not a curated record
AAUUGUCCAGAUGGAAGAACAAGCUUAAUUGAAGUCAAUAGCCAACAUCAUCUUGACAGAAAUACGACCAAAAUUUCCACAGAGUAAACUGCAUUGAGAUCCGCAUCUUUCCAGUACCGAGGACCCAGACAUGGACACAGUACUCCACAAGAGCUGAGGAGAGGGGCAGAAUCACUUCCCUGGACCUGCUUUUGAUGAUGCCCCAGAUGCAGUUGGAUUUCUGGGCUGAACAAGAAAGAAUCCUGCAAUCAACAGCUUUCUUCAUCCCAAAUGCUGACUUUUUAACACAGCAGAAGAUCUAUUCUACACAUCCAAUGAAGGAAAAGAAAAAGCAAAGGGAAAACUAGUGUGCAAUCAUAGAAAAGAUCGUGUAAAGGAAACCUCUAUUCUGUUAUAUAUUUUAACAGAGCAUAAUAGCUUGACAAAUUUGGCCACGAUGAUGGCUGAUAUCUCUACUCUAACGUGCUUUGCAUGGGUAAAAAACAUUUCUUUGUAUACUUAAAAAGUAAGCUGAAAAAAAGAUGUGAUCAAAUUUAUAGCCAUUUUUAGGUGCUGAUCUUAAAUAUGAGUCACCUUUCACAGGUUUCUGUAGUCUCCCUUAUUUAGUCAGACUGGAGAAGCUGGAUUCUAACUUGAGUUCCUUGGUUUAAGUCCCUGAAGAGGGAUAAAAAAAAAAGAAUAGAGAAAAAUAUUUUGGUCCUGUAUAUUGAUAAUCCAUUGUCAUAAAGCCAUUAUAAUGAAAAUGUUUUUUAUUGUUAAUUUAUGCUAUUAUUUCUCCUGUACAUUGAGCAAAAUU